GACGAACGCUGGCGGCGUGCUUAACACAUGCAAGUCGAACGGGAACCUUUAUUUCGGUAAAGGUGAGAGUGGCAAACGGGUGAGUAACACGUAGGCAACCUGCCGACAGGAUGGGGACAACAUUCCGAAAGGAAUGCUAAUACCGAAUGGAGUCCGGGGAUGGCAUCAUCCCUGGAUAAAAGAUGGCCUCUGAAUAUGCUAUCGCCUGUCGAUGGGCCUGCGUCUGAUUAGCCAGUUGGCGGGGUAACGGCCCACCAAAGCGACGAUCAGUAGCCGGUCUGAGAGGAUGAACGGCCACAUUGGGACUGAGACACGGCCCAGACUCCUACGGGAGGCAGCAGUGGGGAAUCUUCCACAAUGGGCGAAAGCCUGAUGGAGCAACGCCGCGUGAGUGAAGAAGGUCUUCGGAUCGUAAAGCUCUGUUGCACGGGACGAAAACCGAGCU
RNAcentral lists this ribosomal RNA (445 nucleotides) under Selenomonas sp. oral taxon C23. Its description in RNAcentral is "bacterial SSU rRNA". It matches the Rfam family "Bacterial small subunit ribosomal RNA", at positions 28 to 458 of the family's 1533-position model. Lineage: Bacteria; Bacillati; Bacillota; Negativicutes; Selenomonadales; Selenomonadaceae. The record is from RNAcentral.